Molecule: ribosomal RNA, 248 nt
Filed under: uncultured Muribaculaceae bacterium
Lineage: Bacteria; Pseudomonadati; Bacteroidota; Bacteroidia; Bacteroidales; Muribaculaceae
Description: partial 16S ribosomal RNA
Rfam family: Bacterial small subunit ribosomal RNA
Source: RNAcentral
UACGGAGGAUGCGAGCGUUAUCCGGAUUUAUUGGGUUUAAAGCGUUCGUAGGCGGUAAAGUAAGUCAGAUGUUAAAGCCCGGGGCUCAACUCCGGCGAGCCGUUGAAACUGUCGGACUAGAGACGGCGAGAAGUACGCGGAAUGCGCGGUGUAGCGGUGAAAUGCAUAGAUAUCGCGCAGAACUCCGAUUGCGAAGGCAGCGUACCGGCGCCGGACUGACGCUGAGGCACGAAAGCGUGGGUAUCGAA